CACAGAACGAAUUUCUCUUUUUUUUUUUUUUUUACUGUUUUCACUUUUUUUUAUAAUUGAAUUUAAUUAGAAAAAUAAUCUUAUACCUGUUGCUAGUAGAGGUUCAGAAUAUGUAGUUUUCAGUCCAUUUCAAAGUACUCAAAAUAAGAGUGAGGAGAGGUUUGAUUCCAAUUACAUAGCUUCAAAUGCUUGUCCUUUGAAAUAUCCUUUAAAUAAGGAAGAAGUAAUCUAAGUUACUUGUGUUAUCUUUCUUCCAUGGACUAACGGGGGAAGAACUGGUGUCUUGUUUCCAUCUUUGCAUGCCCUUAAUUGUGUUAAAUCUUUCACUUCCUUUUCUAGGUCUGCCAUUUUAAAGUUAUCAUUUUAUGUGAGGGUGUUGUCGCUUUCAUAUUAUUGCUGUAUUCUUAAGGAACUAGGAAUAGGCCUUUUCCUCUCCUUGGCACCUACUCUGUGCACCAUGUACAAUGCUUCCUUAAGCUCCCUUAAUUGAGGUUUUGUUAAUGGUUAGAGAUAGAGAUGGUUUCUAAGUACACUAACUAGUGUCCUUAGUGUCAAAUUCUCGUCAUCUGUGUUUACUAUUUGGGCAAAAUCUUCUGGCCCCAGUGACAGCAUGUGAGCAUGUGAAGCCGUAUAUUUAAUUUUGGUGAUAUCUUUAGCUGUUCCUUGCAAUAUCUGGUUUAUGUGGUAUGACUGGCUGCUUCUUAAAAAUUGAAAUGUUUGUUAUUUUGAUAAUAUUGGCUUAACAAUGAUUCUAUUUAUUGAUAUAUUUUAUACUUUGAAUUUCCUUUGCUUUCUAACACUGCUUGGUGUACCUGUUCUUUGAAUUGUUACACAGCCCAAGCAAAUUCAUGAGAUUAAGGAUUUCCUUCUCACUGCAAGAAGGAAAGAUGCACGCUCUGUGAAGAUCAAGAGGAGCAGGGAUGUGGUCAAGUUCAAGGUCCGCUGCUCCAAGUACCUCUACACCCUUUGUGUAUUUGACACUGAGAAGGCUGACAAGUUGAAGCAGUCUCUUCCUCCUGGUUAAUUUUCAAAUCCCAUCUCUUUUGUGCCUAGGCAUUUUACUACAACCACCCCUGUGCAGUCACAACAAAAAUGAAGAAGUAUAUGCAAUAAAAACAAAUGUGUAGGCGCAUUCUAUUAUCUGCAUUAAGAAAAUAUAUAUAUAUCUAAUACAGAAAUGUUGGGUUAUUUAAAGGCAACUAUCAGUGUUUUUGGGUUUGAUUUCAUAUUCUAGAAUGGUAAAAGAAAAGGAUGACUGUUGACUUUUAACUGGUUCUUCCAUCUAAUUGAGUCGGUCUGUUUUCUGGUUGCAGGUUUGAGCGUGCAAGAUCUGUAAAAGCCAGUGGUUGGCCUGUGGCUGUCAAUUAGUUUUCUAGGAGAUGAACCAGAAUUUCUCUUUUGUCACAUUCAAUUUUUGUGAUUGAAAUACUUGUGGAUUUUGGCUUGCUAUUUGAUCAUAUUGCGUAGUUUGUUGUAUAAGACUUGCAUUAUUCUGUUGAGAAAUUUACUAUGAGUUUUGAGUUUUG
RNAcentral lists this unclassified non-coding RNA (1526 nucleotides) under Hevea brasiliensis (rubber tree). Lineage: Eukaryota; Viridiplantae; Streptophyta; Magnoliopsida; Malpighiales; Euphorbiaceae. The record is from RNAcentral.